GAUGAACGCUGGCGGCGUGCCUAAUACAUGCAAGUCGAGCGAACAGACGAGGAGCUUGCUCCUCUGACGUUAGCGGCGGACGGGUGAGUAACACGUGGAUAACCUACCUAUAAGACUGGGAUAACUUCGGUAAACCGGAGCUAAUACCGGAUAACAUGUUGAACCGCAUGGUUCAACAGUGAAAGACGGUCUUGCUGUCACUUAUAGAUUGAUCCGCGCCGCAUUAGCUAGUUGGUAAGGUAACGGCUUACCAAGGCAACGAUGCGUAGCCGACCUGAGAGGGUGAUCGGCCACACUGGAACUGAGACACGGUCCAGACUCCUACGGGAGGCAGCAGUAGGGAAUCUUCCGCAAUGGGCGAAAGCCUGACGGAGCAACGCCGCGUGAGUGAAGAAGGUCUUCGGAUCGUAAAACUCUGUUAUUAGGGAAGAACAAAUGUGUAAGUAACUAUGCACGUCUUGACGGUACCUAAUCAGAAAGCCACGGCUAACUACGUG
Molecule: ribosomal RNA, 497 nt
Filed under: uncultured bacterium
Lineage: Bacteria
Description: partial 16S ribosomal RNA
Rfam family: Bacterial small subunit ribosomal RNA
Source: RNAcentral